This 231-nucleotide long non-coding RNA is filed under the name Mytilus galloprovincialis (Mediterranean mussel). The record is from RNAcentral. Lineage: Eukaryota; Metazoa; Mollusca; Bivalvia; Mytilida; Mytilidae.
AUAUCAAAAAUUCGUAAGGGUUCCACGGAACCCAGUGUCUCGCCUACUUUUGCUGUUAAUCGCAGACUCAACAAAAUGAGGAAAAACAUCAAUAAAAAUUUCCCUCUCGAUACUGUCUUUUGAUUGAAAGAAGCUUCCAAGUUUGGUAAAAAAUCCAGGAUAGUUUAUGAAUCUAAUAAAUGUUGUAUAAACUUUAACUGCAGACUGUAUGUAAUGUUAACUGGAAGAAAA